GCUGGGCAUGGUGGCAUGUGCCUGUAAUCCCAGCAGCUCAGGAGGCUAAGACAGGAGGAUCACAAGUUCAUAGCCAGCCUCAGCAAUUUAGUGAGGCCCUAAGCAAUUUAGAGAGACCUUGUCUCAA
RNAcentral lists this small RNA (127 nucleotides) under Marmota monax (woodchuck). Lineage: Eukaryota; Metazoa; Chordata; Mammalia; Rodentia; Sciuridae. The record is from RNAcentral.